AUAUUGGGAUUCGAUUGGAUAAUCUGCAUCCUGAGGUUUAGAACAACAGAUGCGUAAUUCUAUCUAAGCCUUGGGAUGCUGAUUAUCUCUUCCUUAUCACCAAUGC
RNAcentral lists this microRNA precursor (106 nucleotides) under Medicago truncatula (barrel medic). Its description in RNAcentral is "miR2111e stem-loop (mtr-MIR2111e)". Lineage: Eukaryota; Viridiplantae; Streptophyta; Magnoliopsida; Fabales; Fabaceae. The record is from miRBase by way of RNAcentral.